This 440-nucleotide ribosomal RNA is filed under the name uncultured bacterium. RNAcentral describes it as "partial 16S ribosomal RNA". It matches the Rfam family "Bacterial small subunit ribosomal RNA", at positions 338 to 795 of the family's 1533-position model. The record is from RNAcentral.
CCUACGGGUGGCAGCAGUGGGGAAUAUUGCACAAUGGGGGAAACCCUGAUGCAGCGACGCCGCGUGAGUGAAGAAGCGUUUCGGCGCGUAAAGCUCUAUCAGCAGGGAAGAAAAUGACGGUACCUGAUUAAGAAGCCCCGGCUAACUACGGGCCAGCAGCCGCGGUAAUACGUAGGGGGCAAGCGUUAUCCGGAUUUACUGGGUGGAAAGGGAGCGUAGACGGCAGCACAAGUCUGGAGUGAAAUGCCGGGGCUUAACCCCGGAACUGCUUUGGAAACUGUGCAGCUAGAGUGCAGGAGAGGUAAGUAGAAUUCCUAGUGUAGCGGUGAAAUGCGUAGAUAUUAGGAGGAACACCAGUGGCGAAGGCGGCUUACUGGACUGUAACUGACGUUGAGGCUCGAAAGCGUGGGGAGCAAACAGGAUUAGAUACCCCUGUAGUC